GACGAACGCUGGCGGCGUGCUUAACACAUGCAAGUCGAACGGAAAGGCCCUGCUUGCAGGGUACUCGAGUGGCGAACGGGUGAGUAACACGUGGGUGAUCUGCCCAGCACUUCGGGAUAAGCCUGGGAAACUGGGUCUAAUACCGGAUAGGAGCCAUUUUUAGUGUGAUGGUUGGAAAGUUUUUUCGGUGUAGGAUGAGCUCGCGGCCUAUCAGCUUGUUGGUGGGGUAAUGGCCUACCAAGGCGGCGACGGGUAGCCGGCCUGAGAGGGUGGACGGCCACAUUGGGACUGAGAUACGGCCCAGACUCCUACGGGGGGCAGCAGUGGGGAAUAUUGCACAAUGGGCGCAAGCCUGAUGCAGCGACGCCGCGUGGGGGAUGACGGCCUUCGGGUUGUAAACUCCUUUCGCUAGGGACGAAGCUUUUUGUGACGGUACCUAGAUAAGAAGCACCGGCUAACUACGUG
This 465-nucleotide ribosomal RNA is filed under the name uncultured bacterium. RNAcentral's name for it is "partial 16S ribosomal RNA". It matches the Rfam family "Bacterial small subunit ribosomal RNA", at positions 28 to 507 of the family's 1533-position model. The record is from RNAcentral.